This is an RNA transcript of Mus pahari (shrew mouse), 1991 nucleotides long. It is a transcript of the gene named protein C8orf37 homolog, with no coding region annotated. The record is from RefSeq and is a predicted model, not a curated record. NCBI's taxonomy places the organism in Eukaryota, Metazoa, Chordata, Mammalia, Rodentia, Muridae. The transcript is spliced from 2 exons.
AUGGCUAAGGAGCUGGACGAACUUCUGGAUGAAGUUGAGACCAAGUUCUGCAGACUCUACGCCCUGAGGCUGGACCUUGGUGAGCAGCCCAAAGGCGGCAGCAUCAGUGGCUCGCACAGUGACGACCAGAACAGAGCCCAGGAGAAAGAGACUCUCAGAUCAACAGAAAUGUUUUAAAAAGAAGAUGAUCUUGACAGUCUUAUUAAUGAAAUAUUCGAGGAGCUUAACUUUGACAAAAAAAUCUUUAAAAAAUUUAAAUCUAAAUCUUCAAGUAACAUAUCUGUCAGAGCUCCCAUACAAGGCAUCCGUAAAAGUUGCAGUCCAGUAUAUCUCAGUGGAAGCGACAUUCCAUGUGGUGUUGGAACAAAUACUUCACAGAGAGCAUGUGACAGACUCCGUUGUGUAGCCUGUGAUUUCUGGAUAGUGAGCUACAAUGAUUAUAUGUGGGACAAGUCAUGUGAGACUACCUGUUCUUCAGAAACAACAUGCCAGAAUUCCACAAACUCAAAACAAAAUUGAUGGAGAAGAAAGGAGCGUGGGUGUAUGCCUGCCAGUGUAGCUGGAGAACUGUUGAAGAACCCACUGACCUGCAGACAGAUCAUCAGCUUCACUGGGUAUGUGGUAAACACUGAGAGUGUGGACAGCUGCACCUGUGAGAACAAGUUCCAGGUAUCAACUUGGGUACCAGUGCACAGCAGUAUUGUGCCCGCUGGGAAAAGGCAACAAAUGUUGUGAAACCACACAUGUCUGAAGACCAAAUGGACUGGAAAAGACAUAUGUACUGUGACACCUUGGCAUUCUUCCUUUCGACAUGGACAUUUUGCUUAGUAGGUUAAAGUAUCUGCGUUUGCCACCCUCUCUCCAUUUAGGGGUUGAAAUUGUGACAUUUCGUGCAAAUUUACAGCUUUUCCAUAGCAACUGACAUACUGACUGCUAAUGCACUCUAAAAUGUUCCUCAUGUAUCAUUGUUGUUAAAGAAUACUCACUGGCAUGGCAAAGAGGUCAUUGUAUGAGUGUUCAUGGCUCUUCCUAUUCUGAUCCAUCAUUGUCCGAGACUAUAAGUUGAACAUGACAAAAAAAGCAGAUGACCCUUGGUUAACUGAGGGGUUGUCAAGAGUACAGGAACAUUGUAACCCUGCCUUAUAUGUAUCUCAUCUUGCCUCACCAACUCAAUUCAGUGUUAUGAAUAAUAGUAAUAGUAAUAAUGAUGUUACCAGUUUUACCCUCCUUUGCUCAUUGAAAUAUCAAAAGUUGUUUAGUUUUCUAUUAGCAAGCAUCAAUUUAUAUAUAUGAUUUUGAUGCAACUAAAGUUACUAAAAUCCUACAAAUAAGUUAUUGUUGAACUUUUCAAGUAUACACCAUAACUCUAAGUGAGCAGCAUUAAGAUGAUUUUCAGACAGCCUGUGGACUUUCUAAUAGUAUCAGGUUGGCCCAUUCUUUAUUGAAGCAUAGAGAACCAAUGGGUAGCUGUUGGGCUCCCGUGAUAUCACUGAGAUGGGAAGAACUGUAUCAUACAUACUAACAUGUUCAAGAAAUGCACUGCCUCAGGUUUACCUACCAGUCCCAUAGACAUUUCAGGGCUUUUCUAGUCUGCUAGAAUUCUAUUUUGUGUGUCCCCUUCCUGUGUGUGUAUUACUUAAGUGUGUGGCACUGGGCACUCUGCAAGGAUGAACAUUUUAGCCCAGAUAAUGAUCUGCUUGCUUUUCAGUUAACUCCAUUCUUGCCACCAAGCAAAUCCUCUGAUUGCUGGAAGCUCUUUCCUAGGCUAGGGUCUAGCUUGGCAAUAGAGUGCUUGCAUUGCAUGUGCAAGACCCCAAACUUAGUCCCAGUAGUGCAAAAGAAAAAAGAAAGACUGAGGGGCAAGCUUUUCCCCACCAUGACACAUUUAUGUACUUUAAAAACGUUAAAUGCAGCAAAAGAAAUCUCAGUGGCUGAUGCUCAAACUCUUGUAUUAAGAUUAUUUACAAAUUUUAUCUUUUAAUAAACCAAUU